UGGUGAGUAAUGCGUGACCAACCUGCCCCAUGCUCCAGAAUAGCUCUUGGAAACGGGUGGUAAUGCUGGAUGCUCCAACUUGACGCAUGUCUUGUUGGGAAAGUGUUUAGUGGCAUGGGAUGGGGUCGCGUCCUAUCAGCUUGUAGGCGGGGUAAUGGCCCACCUAGGCUUCGACGGGUAGCCGGCCUGAGAGGGCGGACGGCCACAUUGGGACUGAGAUACGGCCCAGACUCCUACGGGAGGCAGCAGGC
This 251-nucleotide ribosomal RNA is filed under the name uncultured Gardnerella sp. RNAcentral's name for it is "partial 16S ribosomal RNA". It matches the Rfam family "Bacterial small subunit ribosomal RNA", at positions 104 to 354 of the family's 1533-position model. Lineage: Bacteria; Bacillati; Actinomycetota; Actinomycetes; Bifidobacteriales; Bifidobacteriaceae. The record is from RNAcentral.